This 263-nucleotide unclassified non-coding RNA is filed under the name plant metagenome. RNAcentral's name for it is "partial contains small subunit ribosomal RNA, internal transcribed spacer 1, and 5.8S ribosomal RNA". The record is from RNAcentral.
UUUCCGUAGGUGAACCUGCGGAAGGAUCAUUAUUGUAUAACCGAGGUGCGAGGGCUGUCGCUGACCCGAAAGGUCGUGCACGCCCGAGUGCCCGCACACACAUCCAUCUCACCCCUAUGUGCACCACCGCGUGGGUCCCCCUUUGGCUUGUUCGGAGGGGGGCUUACGUUUUCACACAAACUUUGUAUGCAGUGUAGAAUGUAUUUUUUGUUUUUGCGAUCACGCAAUCAACACAACUUUCAACAACGGAUCUCUUGGCUCUC